Molecule: long non-coding RNA, 690 nt
Organism: Daktulosphaira vitifoliae (grape phylloxera)
Lineage: Eukaryota; Metazoa; Arthropoda; Insecta; Hemiptera; Phylloxeridae
Exons: 4
Source: RefSeq, a predicted model, not a curated record
GUUGUCAACCAUUCAAAAAACGGAAGAAUACGUCAACGGCAAGCAGUCAACCAUUCUUAGCAACACCUCUAUGUAAUGGCUCAAUAUCUGGAUUCUAUCAGAACUGUCGUGGUUUAAGGAAAAAAUUAUUUAACUUUAACUGGAAUAAUAGAUCCAACAUCAGGAAUAAUCAAAUUAAGUCAUAUGUUUAACACUUUGUCAUUAAAAAAUUUACCAAGAUCGCUCGAUUUAAUUCAUAUUUGUAUUGCUAACUCAAACUUAAAUCCAACAAUUGAAAUUAAAAAAGGGUGCCGAAAAAUCCUCAUCGAGGUCGCAAAAGAUGUGAAACAAUAAUUUCUGUUGAACAGUACCAGUUUCGAGACGGCAGUCGAAGAAUGCGAAAUUUGAAGCGCAGAAAACGGAAAAUUCUUCCAGGUGACUCAUAUUUUGAGGGGUUUACGAAAAUAGGAUGUAGAGGGAGUUAGAGAGAGACAAAUUAUUUUUUAUUUAUAGAUUAAUCAAGGGAAACUCAAAAACUAUAAACGAUAGCCCAUUGAAAUGUGUUAUAAAAAUUAUGAACAGUCUAAUCGAAAAAGAAAAUUCAUCAAAAUGUAUGGUUGUAGUGAUGUCUAAAUUUGCAAAAUACAAACGCCGUGUAAGACGACCAUAUCCACUUGAAGAUCAUGAUCCUAAUUCACAGGACAGUGGUUC